Molecule: long non-coding RNA, 1000 nt
Organism: Prunus dulcis (almond)
Lineage: Eukaryota; Viridiplantae; Streptophyta; Magnoliopsida; Rosales; Rosaceae
Exons: 2
Source: RefSeq, a predicted model, not a curated record
UUGCCCGUGGUUUGGGGUGUCUGUGUGGUAGCUGGUUUCAGCCGCAUUCACUGGAGUUUAUUCUGUUAGCUUCUAAUUAUAGUGGGUGGCAGUAUUAGCCAAAGUUUUAAAUAAGCUAAUCAUCAUUCUAUUAUAAAUUUUAUUUAUGCAAAAGUUUAGUUUAAUUUUUAUAUUCCACCAGGGCAGUUGUUGAGAUCGGUUUUAUUUAGGGUUGGUUGAAGUUGUGAGGGAUGGUGAGGUAAUGAGUUACUUUUAGUACAUGUUCAUAACUCGAUCUUCCUUAGGUGUUACAAAAAAAAUAAAUCUUCUAAGGCAUCAAAAUGACCAUUAGAGUGACAUCGAUGUGGUUUCGAAUAACAAUCUUUCGAUGUUUUUGUUAAAAAGGUUGUCUAAAACUAGAUUAGCAAAAGUUUUAAGCCAAUCAAAUACUAGUGUGUAUAUAACUGAAGAGUUCUUGGGGAAGCUUAUAUACAAGCUUUGGGUGAUUAGUGCCUUUACAUCUUGAUGGCUGUUAGUUUUCCUCACCAAAUAAUCAAUUGUUCUUAUUAAUUUGUUGCCUAACUAAAAUCUUACCCACCAUUAUGAAUGUGCCAAACAUUUUCAUUCAUUUCAGAACAAGUACUUGCCUCAUUACUGUGGUUGAGAUGGUUUGGUAAGGAAGCCCCAAGCUUAAAUGCACCAUUCAAAAAAUCUCCAACUUUUUGUUUGUGUGGACAUUUUCUGUUGAGAGAGACAAUAAUAUAUUAAACUCACACACAUUACAUGGAUGCUACAAGCGAACGACUCGAACCCAACCUUGCAUGGAGGAGCAAUUACUCCAACCACUACACUAGAACAGAGGAAAAAGUUACUGCUUAUAGUCCUCUCCUCUCUACCUGUACCGUACGUAACCUUGAAUUUCAAUAUUGUCUCUACGCAUAGUAUUGUUGUGCUUGUCAAAAAUCAACUAGAUUAAACUUAGUAUCAAACGCAUGUACUUAUUUUAAGCUUUCUACACAAA